GUCGAGAAUCUUUCUCAAUGGGCGAAAGCCUGAAGGAGCGACGCCGCGUGGGGGAUGAAUGGCUUCGGCCCGUAAACCCCUGUCAUUCGCGAGCAAGGUUUGCCAUUUAAAAGAUGGCAAGCUUGAUAGUAGCGGAAGAGGAAGGGACGGCUAACUCUGUGCCAGCAGCCGCGGUAAUACAGAGGUCCCAAGCGUUGUUCGGAUUCACUGGGCGUAAAGGGUGCGUAGGUGGUGAGGUAAGUCUGGUGUGAAAGCUCCGAGCUCAACUCGGAAAUGGCAUCAGAAACUACCUUGCUCGAGGAUUGGAGGGGGGACUGGAAUUCUCGGUGUAGCAGUGAAAUGCGUAGAUAUCGAGAGGAACACCAGUGGCGAAGGCGAGUCCCUGGACAACUCCUGACACUGAGGCACGAAAGCUAGGGGAGCAAACAGGAUUAGAUACCCGAGUAGUCC
Molecule: ribosomal RNA, 450 nt
Filed under: uncultured bacterium
Lineage: Bacteria
Description: bacterial SSU rRNA
Rfam family: Bacterial small subunit ribosomal RNA
Source: RNAcentral